This is a long non-coding RNA of Homo sapiens (human), 1704 nucleotides long. Ensembl annotates it as long intergenic non-protein coding RNA 616. Lineage: Eukaryota; Metazoa; Chordata; Mammalia; Primates; Hominidae. The record is from Ensembl.
AGGCCACUAUUUGAAUGUGUGUUGCUCCUUGUGGCAGGUAUACUGUUCCAAUGCCCUGGGAUCUCUGUAGUGGUCGGUACUGUAUUGAUUAUAAAUGGUGAAGUCCUAGUAUCUUGCUAGAGUGAGCUGGCCAGGAUGGUGGAGCUCUACCACCAUUUCACAGGUUAUAGACAGGGGCCACCAGGUUUCAGGAAAGCAGCAAUGACCCCUCAGUAAUAGUUGGAAAGUGUGAUAUGACACUGAGCUUCACUGUGUUGGUGAAGAAGAGGUGAGGAAAAUAAAAGCUGCAGUUUGCCUCCACCUCUGAAGAAGCACAAUACACCUUUCUGGGUUACCAAUGGGAUACUUCCCAACAGCUUUGUCAUCACAUACAAUAUUCUCAAACAAGAUCUUAAUGGCAUCUACUUUCUCCAGGAACACAGCCCCUGACCUGUGUGUGUUUGCGUAGAGAAGGCAUGCUAUGUACCCCCUAGGAUAUAGGCUGACUUUGCAAGAGAGAGUCCGUUUACCACUUAGAACCGUGAACACCACCCCCGCCCUCAUUUAUCUCCAGACUUGAACUAGUGGUUAAAUCCCAACAUGUCCCAGAGAAGUCAAAAGCAUUGUAAAAUCUGGGAAUCUGCCCACCACUCAAGCCUGGGAAAGCUGGCAGAGGAUGCACGUGUUUUACUCACCUGAGUGUUUACAAUGCUCGUGAGGUGCCUCCCUGAUAUUUCACUUGACUUGAAUGGACAAUUCCUAAUGCUGUUCAGCUACUGUCAGCAGUAAUGCCUUAAGGUAAUGAUAGCAUCUCACAGUUCAGUUUAAGGAAGCAAUACAGAGACAUGCAAAUCAUCCCUAAGACAUGAGUACUCCAUGUGAGGGUGUUGUGAGGGCCUAAGAAGAAAGACAAUCAUUUGGGACAACGUUCUGAGAAGGGAGAUGGUUGCUGCCCUCGUGGAUUUAACAGACUUGGUUAUGUGGCUAGUUUUCUUUUUCUUCUUCCAUACCUGAACUGUGGUACUCAAGAGAAUCAUCUGAAGCUUGUGUUGGACAGGACAGGCAAUAACUUCAAACUGAAUAAUGAGGCCCAAGAUGGACAGUCCCUCGUUGAGGGUCAGAGCCAGCACCCUUGUAGACUGUGACUACUAGGCCAACUCCUAGAGCUAGAGUUCCAUAUGGACAAGGACAAGCUCUAGCUAGAUCAGAGCAAUUUCAUCACAAAGCAAGUUUUAUUUUCAAUCAUCGCUGCAGACCACAAAGGUCAGGCUAAAUAUCGACAGAUCUCUAUUGUGGGAAAAUUUGGACUUUUGGCUUAUUAUCAGUACUCAACCUUGAUAGGCAGCACCAGAUUAACUGCUAAAGAUUCUAUGCAUCUUUAUCUCAUUAGCCUUUUACAUUUUAUCCUGUUUCUUAGCCUCGGCUGGGGGACGGGUACAGUCAACUCCCACUGGAGCAACAACAUAAAAGGUGGGAAGGAAAAUGUUUAUGUUGACACCAGGGUAGUGAAAGCUAUCCAAGCUAUGGGGAAUUUAAUGCUGAGGAAAGGCAAGAUCAGGGUGGAGCAUCCGGCUGGGGUAGCUGCCUUUCACUGGACCCCUACCAGCCCAGUUUGGGACAUGCAAGGGGAACAGCACAUAGAUAAAGCUUUCUCAAGGUUUAUGAAAGAACAGACGGCAGCACAGCUAACCUCCAGUGCAAAUAAAAAUCAUACAUUUAAGGAAA